CCUACGGGAGGCAGCAGUGGGGAAUUUUGGACAAUGGGCGCAAGCCUGAUCCAGCAAUGCCGCGUGCAGGAUGAAGGCCUUCGGGUUGUAAACUGCUUUUGUACGGAACGAAACGGUUCGCUUUAAUACAGUGGGCUAAUGACGGUACCGUAAGAAUAAGCACCGGCUAACUACGUGCCAGCAGCCGCGGUAAUACGUAGGGUGCGAGCGUUAAUCGGAAUUACUGGGCGUAAAGCGUGCGCAGGCGGUUUUGUAAGACAGAUGUGAAAUCCCCGGGCUCAACCUGGGACCUGCAUUUGUGACUGCAAGGCUAGAGUACGGUAGAGGGGGAUGGAAUUCCGCGUGUAGCAGUGAAAUGCGUAGAUAUGCGGAGGAACACCGAUGGCGAAGGCAAUCCCCUGGACCUGUACCGACGCUCAUGCACGAAAGCGUGGGGAGCAAACAGGAUUAGAUACCCUGGUAGUCCACGCCCUAAACGAUGUCAACUGGUUGUUGGGUCUUCACUGACUCAGUAACGAAGCUAACGCGUGAAGUUGACCGCCUGGGGAGUACGGCCGCAAGGUUGAAACUUAAAGGAAUUGACGG
Molecule: ribosomal RNA, 585 nt
Filed under: uncultured bacterium
Lineage: Bacteria
Description: bacterial SSU rRNA
Rfam family: Bacterial small subunit ribosomal RNA
Source: RNAcentral